Molecule: ribosomal RNA, 826 nt
Filed under: Camillea rogersii
Lineage: Eukaryota; Fungi; Ascomycota; Sordariomycetes; Xylariales; Graphostromataceae
Description: Camillea sp. DC-2022b partial large subunit ribosomal RNA
Rfam family: Eukaryotic large subunit ribosomal RNA
Source: RNAcentral
AGGGAUUGCCCCAGUAACGGCGAGUGAAGCGGCAACAGCUCAAAUUUGAAAUCUGGCCUCCGGGCCCGAGUUGUAAUUUGCAGAGGAUGCUUUUGGCGCGGUGCCUUCCGAGUUCCCUGGAACGGGACGCCUUAGAGGGUGAGAGCCCCGUACGGUUGGACACCAAGCCUCUGUAAAGCUCCUUCGACGAGUCGAGUAGUUUGGGAAUGCUGCUCUAAAUGGGAGGUAAAUUUCUUCUAAAGCUAAAUACCGGCCAGAGACCGAUAGCGCACAAGUAGAGUGAUCGAAAGAUGAAAAGCACUUUGAAAAGAGGGUUAAAUAGCACGUGAAAUUGUUGAAAGGGAAGCGUUUACGGCCAGACCUUUUCCUGGCGGAUCAUCCGGCGUUCUCGCCGGUGCACUUCGCCAGGUUUAGGCCAGCAUCGGCUUCGGUAGGGGGAUAAAAGCAGUGGGAAAGUAGCUCCCUCGGGAGUGUUAUAGCCCUAAGCAUAAUACCCUUACGGGGGCCGAGGACCGCGCUUUUUGCAAGGAUGCUGGCGUAAUGGUCGUCAACGACCCGUCUUGAAACACGGACCAAGGAGUCGAACAUUUGUGCGAGUGUUUGGGUGUUAAACCCUCACGCGUAAUGAAAGUGAACGGAGGUGAGAGCCCCCCUCGCGGGGGCGCAUCAUCGACCGAUCCUGAUGUUUUCGGAUGGAUUUGAGUAAGAGCAUAACUGUUCGGACCCGAAAGAUGGUGAACUAUGCGUGGAUAGGGUGAAGCCAGAGGAAACUCUGGUGGAGGCUCGCAGCGGUUCUGACGUGCAAAUCGAUCGUCAAAUCUGCGCA